This is a non-coding RNA of Ictidomys tridecemlineatus (thirteen-lined ground squirrel), 71 nucleotides long. The record is from Rfam. NCBI's taxonomy places the organism in Eukaryota, Metazoa, Chordata, Mammalia, Rodentia, Sciuridae.
GGGGUUGUAGCUCAGUGGUAGAGCACAUGCUUCACAUACACAAGAACCUGGGUUCAAUUUCCAGUACUUCA